AGAGUCGGUCAGGCAAUCGCUCCUUGUCUAAAGGCAAGGGGAGGAAAGUCCGGGCUCCAUAGGGCAGAGUGCCAGGUAACUCCUGGGAGGUGUGAGCCUACGGAAAGUGCCACAGAAAAUAUACCGCCUGCUAUUGUAGGUAAGGGUGAAAUGGUGUGGUAAGAGCGCACCGCGCGGUUGGUAACAAUCGUGGCAGGGAAAACCCCACUCGGAGCAAGACCAAAUAGGAAUCCAUUUGACUGCAGAGUCAUGACGUAUGGCCCAUACGGGAUUCGGGUAGGUCGCUUGAGGCAUGCGGUGACGCAUGCCCCAGAUGAAUGGUUGCCCACGACAGAACCCGGCUUAUCGACCGACUCUUUUU
Molecule: RNase P RNA, 361 nt
Filed under: Legionella pneumophila
Lineage: Bacteria; Pseudomonadati; Pseudomonadota; Gammaproteobacteria; Legionellales; Legionellaceae
Also listed under: 2 other names
Description: RNase P RNA component class A
Rfam family: Bacterial RNase P class A
About the family: Ribonuclease P (RNase P) is a ubiquitous endoribonuclease, found in archaea, bacteria and eukarya as well as chloroplasts and mitochondria. Its best characterised activity is the generation of mature 5'-ends of tRNAs by cleaving the 5'-leader elements of precursor-tRNAs. Cellular RNase Ps are ribonucleoproteins.
Source: RNAcentral